RNAcentral lists this ribosomal RNA (468 nucleotides) under uncultured bacterium. RNAcentral describes it as "partial 16S ribosomal RNA". It matches the Rfam family "Bacterial small subunit ribosomal RNA", at positions 28 to 507 of the family's 1533-position model. The record is from RNAcentral.
GACGAACGCUGGCGGCGUGCUUAACACAUGCAAGUCGAACGGAAAGGCCCUGCUUUUGUGGGGUGCUCGAGUGGCGAACGGGUGAGUAACACGUGAGUAACCUGCCCUUGACUUUGGGAUAACUUCAGGAAACUGGGGCUAAUACCGGAUAGGAGCUCCUGCUGCAUGGUGGGGGUUGGAAAGUUUCGGCGGUUGGGGAUGGACUGGCGGCUUAUCAGCUUGUUGGUGGGGUAGUGGCUUACCAAGGCUUUGACGGGUAGCCGGCCUGAGAGGGUGACCGGCCACAUUGGGACUGAGAUACGGACCAGACUCCUACAGGAGGCAGCAGUGGGGAAUAUUGCACAAUGGGCGGAAGCCUGAUGCAGCAACGCCGCGUGCGGGAUGACGGCCUUCGGGUUGUAAACCGCUUUCGCCUGUGACGAAGCGUGAGUGACGGUAAUGGGUAAAGAAGCACCGGCUAACUACGUG